GAGCAGCUUAACUACAGUUUUCAUAACAAUUGUGCAUUUUGUGAUAAAAGCAUCAAAUUUGGCACACACAUUCUAAAUGAACUAAUGUUAAUUUUCAGAUAUGGACCCAUCCUGGAGUUGACCUCUGAUGAGCUAUAGGGGUCAAUAAGAAUUCCACAGGGGUCAAAAUUUUAAAAUGCUCCAAUCAUGUUGAAAGCUAUACCACAUUAUUUGUCUGAUCAUAACAAUUCCAAAAAGGUAUAGUGUGGACUAUCUAUGACUGAAUGUUCUGGAGUUAUGAGGUAAAAACAGCAAAAAUGGUGACAAAGGUCAGUUUCAGUUUGUACAGGGGUCAAAACUUAAGGUUGCCCCAAUUUUGG
Molecule: long non-coding RNA, 359 nt
Organism: Thalassophryne amazonica
Lineage: Eukaryota; Metazoa; Chordata; Actinopteri; Batrachoidiformes; Batrachoididae
Exons: 2
Source: RefSeq, a predicted model, not a curated record